Myotis brandtii (Brandt's bat) is the source of this 402-nucleotide long non-coding RNA. RefSeq lists it as uncharacterized. NCBI's taxonomy places the organism in Eukaryota, Metazoa, Chordata, Mammalia, Chiroptera, Vespertilionidae. The record is from RefSeq and is a predicted model, not a curated record. The transcript has 3 exons.
GGAAGAAGCUAAUGGCAGCUACCGAGCCAGCAGGAAUCGGGGGCCCCGGACCUCAGCUUCCCAAUGCGUUUUGGUCACAUUUCCCUCUGUUCUCCUCAUUCUCAUACAACUGCAUUCAUGAAAACACAGAGGUUGGAAGAAGCAGGAAUUGCUGACCCCUGAUAAUCCAGGCCUGGAAACCCCAUCUGGAAUAGUCCCUACAGCCCUACAACAUGGAGAUUUGCUCAGCCUUCCACGAAAAGCAAGAUGUCGAGUGUGCGCUGGAACCGACCGGAUCAUCAAGCGCUGCCCGGAAGGUGCUUCGUCCAAAGCAGGGGCAUUACAUUACGAUUCAUCACGACUCUGUGUUUUGUUCAGUAUCCAUCGCUGCUCUAAAUACCACCUCGCUCAAACCUCCUCCCU